UACGGGAGGCAGCAGUGGGGAAUAUUGCACAAUGGGCGCAAGCCUGAUGCAGCCAUGCCGCGUGUAUGAAGAAGGCCUUCGGGUUGUAAAGUACUUUCAGUCGUGAGGAAGGUGUUAAGGUUAAUAACCUUAGCAAUUGACGUUAGCGACAGAAGAAGCACCGGCUAACUCCGUGCCAGCAGCCGCGGUAAUACGGAGGGUGCGAGCGUUAAUCGGAAUUACUGGGCGUAAAGGGCACGCAGGCGGUUAAUUAAGUUGGAUGUGAAAUCCCCGGGCUUAACCUGGGAAUGGCAUUCAAGACUGGUUAGCUAGAGUCUUGUAGAGGGGGUAGAAUUCCAUGUGUAGCGGUGAAAUGCGUAGAGAUGUGGAGGAAUACCGGUGGGCGAAGGCGGGCCCCUGGGACAAAGACUGACGCUCAUGUGCGAAAGCGUGGGGAGGCAAACAGGGAUUAGAUACC
RNAcentral lists this ribosomal RNA (457 nucleotides) under uncultured bacterium. RNAcentral describes it as "bacterial SSU rRNA". It matches the Rfam family "Bacterial small subunit ribosomal RNA", at positions 340 to 786 of the family's 1533-position model. The record is from RNAcentral.